RNAcentral lists this non-coding RNA (27 nucleotides) under Cricetulus griseus (Chinese hamster). Lineage: Eukaryota; Metazoa; Chordata; Mammalia; Rodentia; Cricetidae. The record is from RNAcentral.
UGAAAGUGAAGCUGUGCAAGAGAAGGC